This 310-nucleotide unclassified non-coding RNA is filed under the name plant metagenome. RNAcentral's name for it is "partial contains 5.8S ribosomal RNA, internal transcribed spacer 2, and large subunit ribosomal RNA". The stretch from base 1 to 105 matches the Rfam family "5.8S ribosomal RNA", at positions 50 to 154 of the family's 154-position model. The record is from RNAcentral.
GAAAUGCGAUAAGUAGUGUGAAUUGCAGAAUUCAGUGAAUCAUCGAAUCUUUGGACGCACAUUGCGCCCCUUGGUAUUCCAUGGGGCAUGCCUGUUCGAGCGUCAUUUGUACCCUCAAGCUCUGCUUGGUGUUGGGUGUUUGUCCCCGUCUCCGCGCGUGGACUCGCCCCAAAGUGAUUGGCAGCCGGCGUACUGGUCCCGGAGCGCAGCACAUGUCGCGCAAACGAGUGCCUUGGUACGGCGGCGUCCAUAAGCCCCUCUCUCACGCUCUUGACCUCGGAUCAGGUAGGGAUACCCGCUGAACUUAAGC